CCUACGGGAGGCAGCAGUGAGGAAUAUUGGUCAAUGGGCGCGAGCCUGAACCAGCCAAGUCGCGUGAGGGAAGACGGUCCUAUGGAUUGUAAACCUCUUUUGUCGGGGAGCAAAAGACGCCACGCGUGGCGUUCCGAGAGUACCCGAAGAAAAAGCAUCGGCUAACUCCGUGCCAGCAGCGCCGGUAAUACGGAGGAUACGUGCGUUUUCCGGUUUUAUUGGGGGUAAAGGGUGCGCAGGCGGAAGAUCAAGGCGACGGGAAACUUGAGGGGUUAAACCUCUUUGGGCCGUUGAAACUGGUGGUCGUGAGUGAGUGAGAGGUAUGCGGAAUGCGUGGUGUAGCGGUGAAAUGCAUAGAUAUCACGAAGAACUCCGAGUGCGAAGGCAGCAUGCCGGCGCUCAACUGACGGUCAUGCACGAAAGUGUGGGUAUCGAACAGGAUUAGAUACCCUGGUAGUC
This 459-nucleotide ribosomal RNA is filed under the name uncultured bacterium. RNAcentral describes it as "partial 16S ribosomal RNA". It matches the Rfam family "Bacterial small subunit ribosomal RNA", at positions 338 to 795 of the family's 1533-position model. The record is from RNAcentral.